RNAcentral lists this ribosomal RNA (787 nucleotides) under bacterium. Its description in RNAcentral is "bacterial SSU rRNA". It matches the Rfam family "Bacterial small subunit ribosomal RNA", at positions 72 to 871 of the family's 1533-position model. The record is from RNAcentral.
AUGCCAGCUUGCUGGUGGAUUAGUGGCGAACGGGUGAGUAACACGUGAGUAACCUGCCCUUAACUCUGGGAUAAGCCUGGGAAACUGGGUCUAAUACCGGAUAUGACCUUCCAUCGCAUGGUGGUUGGUGGAAAGCUUUUUGUGGUUUUGGAUGGACUCGCGGCCUAUCAGCUUGUUGGUGAGGUAAUGGCUUACCAAGGCGACGACGGGUAGCCGGCCUGAGAGGGUGACCGGCCACACUGGGACUGAGACACGGCCCAGACUCCUACGGGAGGCAGCAGUGGGGAAUAUUGCACAAUGGGCGCAAGCCUGAUGCAGCGACGCCGCGUGAGGGAUGACGGCCUUCGGGUUGUAAACCUCUUUCAGUAGGGAAGAAGCGAAAGUGACGGUACCUGCAGAAGAAGCGCCGGCUAACUACGUGCCAGCAGCCGCGGUAAUACGUAGGGCGCAAGCGUUAUCCGGAAUUAUUGGGCGUAAAGAGCUCGUAGGCGGUUUGUCGCGUCUGCCGUGAAAGUCCGGGGCUCAACUCCGGAUCUGCGGUGGGUACGGGCAGACUAGAGUGAUGUAGGGGAGACUGGAAUUCCUGGUGUAGCGGUGAAAUGCGCAGAUAUCAGGAGGAACACCGAUGGCGAAGGCAGGUCUCUGGGCAUUAACUGACGCUGAGGAGCGAAAGCAUGGGGAGCGAACAGGAUUAGAUACCCUGGUAGUCCAUGCCGUAAACGUUGGGCACUAGGUGUGGGGGACAUUCCACGUUUUCCGCGCCGUAGCUAACGCAUUAAGUGCCCCG